Molecule: unclassified non-coding RNA, 333 nt
Filed under: soil metagenome
Description: partial contains 5.8S ribosomal RNA, internal transcribed spacer 2, and large subunit ribosomal RNA
Rfam family: 5.8S ribosomal RNA (bases 1-120)
Source: RNAcentral
GAUGAAGAACGCAGCGAAAUGCGAUAAGUAAUGUGAAUUGCAGAAUUCAGUGAAUCAUCGAAUCUUUGAACGCACAUUGCGCCCGCCAGUAUUCUGGCGGGCAUGCCUGUUCGAGCGUCAUUUCAACCAUCAAGCCCCCGGCUUGUGUUGGGGACCUGCGGCUGCCGCAGGCCCUGAAAACCAGUGGCGGGCUCGCUAGUCACUCCGAGCGUAGUAAUACAUCUCGCUCAGGGCGUGCUGCGGGUUCCGGCCGUUAAAAAGCCUUAUUUACCCAAGGUUGACCUCGGAUCAGGUAGGAAGACCCGCUGAACUUAAGCAUAUCAAUAGCGAGGA